RNAcentral lists this ribosomal RNA (252 nucleotides) under uncultured bacterium. RNAcentral's name for it is "partial 16S ribosomal RNA". It matches the Rfam family "Bacterial small subunit ribosomal RNA", at positions 524 to 776 of the family's 1533-position model. The record is from RNAcentral.
UACAGAGGUGGCAAGCGUUGUUCGGAAUUACUGGGCGUAAAGGGCGCGUAGGCGGCCUUCUAAGUCAGACGUGAAAUCCCCCGGCUUAACCUGGGAACUGCGUCUGAUACUGGGAGGCUUGAGUAUGGGAGAGGGAUGUAGAAUUCCAGGUGUAGCGGUGAAAUGCGUAGAUAUCGGAGGAAUACCGGUGGCGAAGGCGGCAUCCUGGACCAUAACUGACGCUGAGGCGCGAAAGCUAGGGGAGCAAACGGG